This 4492-nucleotide long non-coding RNA is filed under the name Sus scrofa (pig). Its description in RNAcentral is "lncRNA (ENSSSCG00015065087.1)". The record is from RNAcentral. Lineage: Eukaryota; Metazoa; Chordata; Mammalia; Artiodactyla; Suidae.
AUUAGAGGCAGCUGUGUGCCUGAGGGUCUUUAGGUAGCCUGUUUACUGAGGGGCAGGGCUGUGAUCCCACCUGGAUUGUUGUUUGUCCUGGGGCUUCUCAGCAGCUGACUGAUAGGUGGGGCCAGAUUUUCCCAAAAUGGCCCCCUCCAGAGACAGGCAGCUGCUGAAUAUUCCCGAGAGCUUUCCCUUCAAUGUCCUUCCCUCACAACAAGCCAGGUUCACCCCUGUUUUCCCGGGAUAUCCUCCAAGAACUGUGGCCAGGUUUGACCCAGAUUCCUAUAGAGCCUUUGCUUUGCCCUGGGACUCAGUGCACAUGAUAGUCUAUGUGCACCUUUUAAGGUUGGGGUCUCCAUUUCCCCCAGUCCUGUGGAGCUCCUGUGCACAAGCCCCACUGGCCUUCAAUGCCAGAUGCUCCAGGGGCUCUUUCUCUCCUGUGCCAGAUCCCCACACGUGAGAGUUUGAUGUGGGGCUCAGAGCUCUCACUCCUAUAGGUGUAUCUCUGUGAACCAGUUAGUUUCCAGUCUGUGGGCUUCCUACCUGGGAGGUGUGGGGUUCUUUAUAUGGCGAAAUCGCCCCUCCUGCCUCUUGAUGUGGCCUUCUCUUUUUCUUCUGGAGUAGGAUAUGGGUUUCCGGUCCAUUUGGGUGGAGAUUGCUCAGUCUUUAGUUGUGAACUUGCUGUUUUUAUUAGAGAAGUUGAGCUCCAGUCCUUCUAUUCUGCCAUCUCAAUCUAGCACACCCCUACAGUUUUUUUUAAGGUAUAAUUAACAAAAGACAUUCGUUUCAGUCUUGUUGAUAAUUUUUUGGAUUUGACCCCAAAGCGAAGGCACCAGAGGCCAAAGUAAGUGGCACUGGUUGGAAGGAAGGCGCGUCUGCAGCGGCAGGAAGACCACCACCCCAGGGAAAGGCAGCCCUCGCGUCGGAGGAAGUCUGCACAGCCUGUGUCUGAGAAGCGGGGUUUCCAAGUUUUUACUUUCGAGGGAGCACUUUUAUCUGUUUCUUUGCUGCCCUGGCUUUGGUGUCAGAUGCAAGAAACCAUUGCCAAAUCCCCAGGCAUGAAGACGUCCCCUCGUUUUUCCGCUAAGGACGUUGUGGUGUUCGGCUUUCGCAUCUAGGCCUUUGGUCCAUUUUGAGUUCGUGCUUGGUUGUAGUGACGGGGAUGUCUCGGUGUCACCCCUUGGCCGGUGGACCGCCAGUCGCCGGCAGCGCUCCUUGGAGACUCACUCCUCUUUCCACGCCCAGGGGCCUUGGCAGCCUUGUUGAGAGUCAGCGGACGGUGGGUGUGAGGGACCCCUCUCCGAUUUGGUUCUCUUCCAUGGACCGUGUCUUGUCUUCGCGCCGGGGUCACUCGACGGGGCUCCCUCCUCUGCAGCAAGCACCCCCUGACCAUUUUCAGAUCGGCUCUCUGUUUUGUUCUUCCCCAAGAUGCUGUGGAAUCUCACGCAAUCCCUGCGACUUGUAGUGUCAGCCUGCCAGUUUCUCUUACAAAGAAGCCAGCAGCUGGAGUUCCCGUCCUGGCUCAGUGGUUAACAAAUCCGACUAGGAACCAUGAGGUUGUGGGUUCGAUCCCUGGCCUUGCUCAGUGGGUGAAGGAUCCGGCGUUGCCGUGAGCUGUGGUGCAGGUUGCAGACGCGGCUUGGAUCCCACGUUGCUCUGGCUGUGACAUAGGCCGAUGGCUACAGCUCUGAAUCGACCCCUAGCCUGGGAACCUCCAUAUGCCGCGGGAGCGGCCCAAGAAAUGGCAAAACAAACAAACAAGAAACCGAAGAGCCAGCUGGGGUUCUGCCGGGGAUGGUGAUGAAUACUGAGGUCUCUCUGCAGAGCAUCAGCAUCUUACCCUCAGGUCUUCUGAUCCACGUACAAGCCGAGCUGCUCCACUUACUUAGAGCUUCAGUUUCUUUCAAAAGUGUCUCAUAGGUAGCUCCCGUCAUGGUGCAGCUGAAACGAAUCCAACUAGGAACCAUGAGGUUGCGGGUUUGAUCCCUGGCCUCGCUCAGUGAGUUAAGGAUCCGGCGUUGCCACGAGCUGCAGUGUAGAUGGAAGAUGCAUCUGGGAUCCCGUGUUGCUGUGGCUGUGGUGUAGGCCUGCAGCUGCAGCUCUGAUCUCACCCUUCGCCUGAGAACUUCCAUAUGCCGCGGGUGCAGCCCUAAAAAAGCAAACAAACAAAAGAAAUGUGCCUUACAGUUCUGGAGUAUAAGUUUGCACUUCUUCUGUUAGAUUUGUCCCAAAGUAUUUUCUUCUUUUCCGUGCUAUGAUAAAUUGAAUUGUUUCCGGAACUUAUCUCUGCCUUGUUCAUGGGAAGCACAUAAACAUGCAGCUAACCUUUGUGUAUUGGCCUUGUACCUGCAAUCCUGCUGGACUCAGUUAUAAGUCCUAAGAGUCUCUUAGCGUGUGCGUCAGGAGUUGGUGCACAUGUGACCGCGUCAUCCGCCGGUGGAAGUACUGCCCCUUCCCCGUCCCAGGGUGCAUGUGUUCUGCUUUUCUGUCUUGCCUGAUGGCUCUGGUUAGAACUUCCAGAGCAGAAGUGGCCAGAGCAGACAUUCUAGUUUUGUUCCUGAUCUUAGGGGAGAAGCUCCCGUGUUUCAUCACGAGUGUGGUGUUGGCUCUGAGUGUUUUCAUACAGAAAGGAAGUUGCAUUGGUCAGGUGCUUUUUUGGCAUUUGUUGAGAUGAUCCUGUGGUUUUGUUUUUUGGUUCUGUUUUUUUUUUGGGGGGGUUGUUUUGUUUUGUUUUUUUCCUGCUUUUUAGAACCGCUGCUGAGGCAUGUGGAAGUUCCCAGGGUGGGGGCUGAAUCGGAGCUUCAGCUGCCGGCCUACGCCACAGCCACAGCAGUGCAGGAUCCUUAACCCACUGAGCGAGGCCAGGGAUUGAACCCAAAUCCUUGCUGAUACUGGUCAGGUUUGUUACUGCUGGGCCACAGCGGGUCCUGGUUUUUUUGCUUUAGCCGAUGCUAAACUUGCAUUCUCGGGAUAAAUUCCACUGGCUCCUGGGGUAUAAGCCUUUUUAUAUGUUGCCUCCUUCUGUUGGCUGUUUUGUUGGGUUUUGCAUCUGUUCCUAAGCGAUACUGGAUUGCGGUUGUCCUAUGAUUCCUCUGUCUGGUUUUGGUAUUAAGGUGAUACUGGCCCAGCGGACGAAUUGGAAGCGUUCCUUUCUAUUGGGGAUUGCCUUUUACUACGGUGUUUUUUAAAAUGUUGUUUUGAUAGUAUGUGAAAAACCACCAUAGUUCCCAGGUUAAAGCUGGAAAACCAGAUACAUUCAGAGAAGCCCAGAUUCUCUUGCUGUCUGUUCAGCUCUGUUCUCUUCCUGCACGGAAUCGUUUUCAUGGCUUCGGUUAACGUGAAAAGCAUUUGUUCUACUUUUAGACUCGAGCAAGUACAUUCAAUUCUGUGAGUGUGUGAUUCUCUCUGUGGGUGUGUGUGUACACACAUAUUUGCUUUCUUCCCUUUCUUAGACGUAAAAAGUCGUAUAUUGGAGCUCCCCGGUGGCUCCGCGGGUUAAGGGUCCGGUGUUGUCACUGCUGUGGCUCAGGUUCCAUCCAUGGCCUGGGAGUCCCCGCAUGCCACAGGCACGGCCAAAAUGAUGAUGAUGAUACCGGUAACAACCAUAAAGUGUGGCCUGCUGCACACGUGGGUGUUUGUCAGUGAACGUUUGUCUCGGAGCCGAGGCCCUUCACCCAGUGUCUUCAUCCUCACUCUGCGUGGAAUGGAUUGUGCAAACGAGUCUAUUUUUAUUUUUUUCCUGUUUGUGUGUGUACAUUCUUCUUCUUUUUUCCCCUUUUUUUCCUUUUUUGGCCACCCCAUGGUAUAUGGAGUUUCCUGGCCAGGGAGCAGGUCUGAGCCAGAGCGGCAGCCUACACUGCAGCUGCGGCAACACUGGAUUCUUAACCCACUGUGCUGGGCUGGGGAUCGAACCUGCGUCCCAGCGCUACAGAGACACCGCCGAUCGCACUGAACCACAGCAGGAAGGCCUGUGUGUCCCCUCUUAAAUGCAGUUUCUAGAACAGUGUUAUUGCAGGAUGGACGCCUUCGAACGUCGCAGCCGUUUCAGGUGCACAGCAGCGGGAGCCCGUGAUGCGUACCUGUCUUCUUCCUUCCCACGGAGGUUAUGGCAGAACUCGGAGUCCGGUUCCCUGUGCUCUGCUGCUCAUCUCCUGCGGAUGUUCUGCUCUGUCUCCUGCAGAGCGGGCGUCGUGGGCUCUCCCCACCCUGCCAGUUCCUCCUCCCCACAUGGUCUCCCCUGUGGUAACCCCGCGACUGGUUCUGAGACCUCCCAGCCUGUCUCUGUCCUCUAAGGAAGCUCUUCUGUACCAUUUUAUUAGCGUCCACGUGGCAGGCGCCUGUGUCACGUGUCUUUCUCUGUCUGACGUCCUCACUUCAUGUGCGAAUCUCUAGGCCCAUCCACGCUGCCGCAAAUGGACUGAUUUCAUUCGCUUUUGAAGCAUUUCAUUCAGUGGGAAAAAUUACUCGUGUUUUGUUGUAACCCUUAAAAAGAUGGUGU